Long non-coding RNA from Symphalangus syndactylus (siamang), 572 nucleotides. RefSeq lists it as uncharacterized. The record is from RefSeq and is a predicted model, not a curated record. NCBI's taxonomy places the organism in Eukaryota, Metazoa, Chordata, Mammalia, Primates, Hylobatidae.
GUCACUGGGGCGGUAGGGUCCUUGCAGCUGGGCAGUUUUCUCCUCAGCCUGUAGCCUGGUAACCACGACCUCUCCGCCAGGUCCUGUGUGUUGCUGGCUGGAGAAGGGUAGUUGAAAACUCAGACCAAGCACAGUGUUUAUUUUGGUCAAAACUAGAAGACUAUGUCCGGGCGCGGCCGAGGCUGGAGGAUCCCUUCAGGCCAAGAGCAACCUAGCAAUAUGGCGCGACCGGAUCUCUGUAGUCCUGCCUCAGCCCCCCAGCUACUUGAACCCCAAAGUUGGAGGCUCCAAUGAGCUAUGAUCCCACCACAGCAUUGCAGCCUGCCAGACUGAGAAAUGGGGUUUCACCAUGUUGGCAAGGCUGGUCUCGAAUUCCUGACCUCAAGUGAUCCACCCACCUCGGCCUCCCAAAGUGCUGGGAUUACAGGCAUGAGCUACCAUGCCCAGCCCCUUCAGACAAAGUUUCACACUUGUUGUUCAGGCUGGAGUUGCAAUCUCAGCUUACCACUACCUCUGUCUCCCAGAUUCAAGAGAUUCUCCUGCCUCAGCCUCCCAAGUAGCUGGGACUAUAG